GAAGGUCACACCAUGAGUCAACAGUAAUUAGAAUAAUGUGCUUAAUAAUAACAAGACGGGCCAGGUAUUGGUCGGGUGGUGAUUGCCGUAAGGAUCACGGGCCAAGUGUUGGUCGGGUUGUGAUCGCCGUAAGGAUCACGGUUUGGGACCCAGUGUUGGUCGUGGUUGUGAUCGCCGUAAGGAUCACGAUGGUAUCGAGGAUAUCGAGUUGUUGUAUAUUCAUGGUGUUGUACGAGAAUCGUGGGUAAAGAUCAAGCUCCUUGUGGUCGCUUAUUGAUUACUACGAUAUUGUUUAUACUAAGCUUGAUUUGAUCCUGAGAUGAUCGUGUGAUGUCCGAGGUUGGUAAGUGAUGCAUAUGUUCGUUACGAGGUAAUCAAACAUAAUAAGUGGUGCAUAUGGUGUCAUCAUGUUGCAUGCUAGUAUUGUCGGAUUAAUAUGCUCAUGCUGAGUUAGCUGUAUCAUGUUUAUGAUGGUCAUGCCAUGUUAUUCUGAUGAUAUCAUGUUAAUUCCUGUUUAACCUGUAAUUGCCAUGCUGUUGUUUGUCUUGAAUGCUUCUGGUUUAUUGUGAGCUUGCAAGUACAUUCAAUGUACUGACCUGGAGUGUCAUGCCAGUUUGCAGGUCAUGCCGGAUUUGAUUUCUUGCUUGUCGUGGUUUCCGUUCGUGCGAGCUAGGAUAAGCGUUCCAGCCAAAGUCCCUGCGGAGUGGAGUUUACCACCGUCGCCGUUGUUCCGCUGCUAGAGUUAUUCUGCUACUUCGAGUUGUUCUGCUGCUUGCAUAGAGCAACUGAGGAUGGCAUAGUGUCGCCGUACCGAUGUUAUUCAUUGUAAUAUCGGAGACCUUGUAUUCAUAUUUGUGUAAUAAUGGAAAGCUGGUUUGUUUUAUGCUAAGCAGUGCCAUAUUCCAGAAGACUUCUCCUCGAUCUCUGGGCUGGAAUACGGGGUGUUCUGGUUUUCUUUGAGCCGGGGUGCCACGGGCUUGGUAUCAGAGCAGGUCUGGCUAUAGGACGCCCUAGACCGCGCGAACGUUAGAACGCGGUAGUAUAGACCCCAGUUGGUUUGUUGCAUUUGAUUGUUGCAUUUGUUUGUCGCAUAGCAUCCAUAUAGCCUUAGUAUUCGUGAUAACGGUUUAUCUGGUGAGUGUAGCUGGCAUCGGUUUGGAUCCACUACAACUCAACCUUUGCAUUUCUCCAGUUCCUUUUUCUUUCGGUGUUUGGUGUCAAUUCUAUCCCAGCAGAGUUAUGCCAAGUGAUCCCGACACUGUUUGCAAAAAUGGUGCUCAGGCAUCGCGCCGAUGUAUUUCUUUCAGUCCCGUCUAUCAUUUCGGUGAUGGACAUGCGUCUAUCCAGGAUCAUUCUUUUAUUUUGUCAUGUUGGCAACCCUUAAUGAUCUUAGUUAUCAAGAAAGGGCAAUGUCAGCAGCCUCAGUUUUUCGCCGCUAUCCUAUUUCUUGGACGAGUAUGGAUCUUUUUCCGCCCGCUUGAUAAUAAUGUGGUUGCGACCUUCGUGUCCCACUGCAUGGUUACCAAGUACGUCCUCGUCUCCGAGCUAGUCUAGGUUGCUACCUGGCUAAGAUAGCACUUGGUGUAGCGCUGUUUACACCAAUUCUUCCACACAUUUAUUCGUCCUCGUGCACAUCAUCACAGCAUGCUAGAUCGUAAUACCGGAGUUUCCGCGAGAUUUGUGUGCUUAGGUUUGCAUGCAUAUUAUUGUGUGAGUAGCAGUAAUAUGUGAUGAUUGCUUGAUUAAUUAUGUUAGUAGAAUGCUUGUUUGCUCUGGUUUUAGUCGUUUCUAUUGUUCCUUUUUUUGGGCCUUUGGUGUUACAAAUUUUUCCCCCAUUAAAGUUGCUCGUCAGCCGACACUGGACCCGAAGAAUCAGGAAGGAAUGCAUAUAUUUGGAAACUCAGCUAAACAGAAUGGAAUUAUCAGCUGACUGCAGUGAAAUUGGGAAUAUCUUAUCUGAAUGCAAAAGAAAUCCUGGAUGGACCGUUAGUAAGUUUGCAUUAGCGUGCACUCAUCACUACGAAAUGAUUAAAUCAGCAAGAAGAUAAAUUGUGUGCAAGGUUGACAGAAUAUUAUCAAAGUUAUGGCUCAGAUACAAGUUUAAUUUUUCGUUGAGGAUGAUUUUGGAAUUCGAUGUACCUGGAAGCAAGCAAAAAUACGACAUAUACUCAGAAAGGAGGAUAGUCCUGCAAAACCCCGUUUCAUGCAGGAAAUCAAUAGAAGAAAUAUUAAGAUGGUAUGUAUAUGUGGAAAUCGGUCCGCAUAUCCCAAUAAGAAGUUUCUGGUGUAGGCAACCCACUUUUCCCUCGCAAGAUACCAGAGAAGCUUCCAAGGCAAGAUUCAUCUAUAUUCCUCAGUAUGAUACGUGGAUGAUUUCCCAUGCAAGGUACUCUGCCUUCUUCAGUAAGCACCCGCAAAAGUUUCCAGCAUAAGGUACCGAGUCUUUCCCCAGCAAAGUAUUUAAGGGGGUAAGCUUCUGAAGCACGAUACCCAGUCUUCUUCAGGAAGCCGUCCGAUGAAAGUUUUGAGCACAAGCCAGCAAAUCUUCCUCAGUAAGACAUUGGUCAAGGUAGUACGCUGUGAAUUGACAACAUAUGGCAGUGAAUCCCAAGAAUCAAAUCCGCAACAUUUUGGUCAGAAUCAAGAAUCAGUCGGAAUGAAUGUCUAUCUCGGAAUCAGGUCCUCAUAUAUAUGCCAUGAGCAUACCAUCAAGAUCUUACAGGUCACUCGGAUGAGGAUCUAAUAACCAUGUGAGGAUGAUUCAGAGAAGAAAGCCAGUAUACACCGUACUGUGACAAAGGAUUAUGAGGACUGAUGACAUCAAUGAGCUCAGUACAAGUACCCGUGAACCUGGAAAAUGAACCUGAUGAUCCCUUGUCCCCUUUUUCUCCAAUGACGGCACCACGCGUGUGAUCUGAGCUGUUUCUAGCUAUCCAGGGUGGAUGCCUAUUUUUGUUUCUCUCUUCAACAACUGUCACGAGUCUGAGCUACUUUUCGGCCGUCUCAUACAGCUGUUCAGAUUCUUUUGUGACAGUAGCCCUAUAGCUGCUUUUUGGCUAUUUUAGGGAGCUGCCACCUUCUUCUUAUCGACCCGGUCUCAUGCUCUGAGCUAUUUUUCGGCCGUCUUGAGCCGUGGUUGAGUUAUUUCAGUAAUGUCCUAGAUCUGAGUUGUAAAGACUAUUCUGGUGGCUACUGAUUUAUUUGUCGAUUUCUUGCAAGGGUUUUGGAUGAUCAUUUCCCAACAAUCAGAACUUGAGAGGUGUAGAACCUGCCAUUUGAUGGGUUACCCUACCAGAAAAAUGAGGAUAAGCUACAAUUGCCAAAAAAAUUGCACCGACAGUACCUAUGGUCAUACGAAGAAGCAAUAUGGCCCCAGCUCUUUCAGCCAAUGAUCCAGACCAAGAAAACAAUAAUGAAGGAGCAAGACCAAUGAGGCAGGUAUGAAAAUUAUACACGACCGCCAUGGUGCAGAUCCCCCGGAUAGUCUAAGUCGGUAUGGAUCCACAUGGAUAUGCCUACAACAUGAGUAAUCAGCAUGAGGAAUAACAGUCUGGAAGCAUGAGUCCUCACUUAUAUGAAUCAUCAUGGAUAGCCUGUCGUGACCAAAUUUUUUCCGUCAGAACCACCGUUAGUCAAGCCGGCAAAUAUUAUCAUACAGGCCGAACCCUUUAUGCUAGCCGCGACGGGAGACAACCAAAUAUUUGAUAUGCAUCCGGUACCCAUGCUAGUGGAACCGGUUAAGAUGGUUCAAAAACUUCUGCGAUGAGUCAGAAUCUGUCAGGAAACGGUUAUGUUUUAACUCACUGUUGGAAACCCAAAGGACCUUCAUUUGGUGGAGAAACCCAAUGAAAUGAGUCUGAGCUUGAGUUUUAAUCAAAACAUUCUGAUCAUCAUUACAUGAAAGGUUGUCAGUGCCGGAUGGCACACCCAGCGGAAAUCCCUUUUGGAUUUGUGAGAUGGACAUAUAUUUCAGUCGUGAUAAUCAAAUUACACUCAGCUAGUCAGCAGAUCUAAAAAGAAAUUGGAGCCUAUAUAAGCAUGAGCAAGCCAGUUAAGAUCUGUCAGAACGUGGAUACAAUGAAUCAAACCAACCCAGGGCCAGUCAGAUAAGAAUUUAGUGGGAACAACAAUAAAGGAAAAAGGAUACCCGAGUUGGAAAUGGUUUCCUUAAGUCAGAAUAUUAAUACUAGUUCCCUGAGCAACCAAAUCUUGAGGACGAGAUUUCUUUAAGGGGUUAAGGUUUGUGACAACCUGAUUUUUGGUCCUUUCUUUUUCUUUUGUUUUUCCGAGGUUUUUGCCUGAGUUUUCUUUUUUCCGUGGCUUUGUGGUCUGGAAACCGAAGAAGAUGACCUCUUCUUUGCUUCUAGAGUGGCUUGUCAUUCCCAAAUCUUUCCCUAGACCCUGUCAUUUCCUUCCUAGCCCAAAUCCCAAUAUUCUUUUUAUUGGGAAUAUUCCUUUUCUAUUGAAGGAAUAACUCAAAUUGCCCUAGGUUGUGAAGCAACCUAUAUUUCAAUCACUCCUAAAAUUCCCAAUUAAUUCUCAUAAAUUGUUUGGGUCAUAUCUUGAUCAAAGAUGGCAAAACGUUUCAUUGCCAUGUUCAAAAAUAAUUCCCCAGUAAUUCAUUUCCUAUUCUGCCCUGAAUGGCACUUUGUGAAGGAAGUGUCAUUUAUAUUUCUCCUAUUGACUCCCAACCUUUUUGGGCAUGAUUAUAUGUCCAAAUAGUUACCUCAUGCACAAGUUCAAAUUUAUUUGCCUAGCCAAUCUUCCUCAGUGAAUUUUCAAAGUUUCUGUCAGACAGAAGGCUUUGUGCAGGAAGUACUAGCUAGGAGUACCCAAAUGAGUUGAACUUUUGCACUCCUUAAUGUGCUCAUAUUAACCCCUUACACCCAUUUGCAGCCCCAUCCCAUCAUCUAUGUGAGCACAGGAGCAAAUCUUUGUUUCUGGAAAUAUUUUUAGGUUGUGAAGCAAGUAUAUUUUAUAUUGCUCCAAAAAUCCUGAUAAAUUACCAGAUCAUUCGUAUACGCAUAAAACAUUUCUCCACCCAAUUUGGCAUCAUUUCAUUGAUCCAUUUGACCACCAUAUUUAUUUCAAGUUUCUGGUCAGCAGAGAUGUUUGUGAAGCAAUUGCUAUUUUGGUCUGUCCAUUUGGCAUGAGCUUUUUACAGCAUCAUCAUAUGACCAAAUGACUAAGCCUUGACCAAUAUUAGCUCAAGUGGACACUCCAUGUGAGUCCGCCAUCCUAAUCUUGAUUCUGGACCAUAUUUGGCAGUUGCAAAGCAACUCUGUUAAAUCUUGAUCCAAACCCAUCCAUAGUUACCAGGAUGUAAGUCCUUCAUUACCUCUACCUCCGAGACAACUCCAUUUGACCCAAUCACAUCCCUGUUGAGCAGCAGUACACGAUCAAGUUUACUGCAGUAAACUUCAGGUGUUAACUGCUAUUUAACCGUGUCACUUUUAGCCAAACUACCACCGCGGUUGCAACCUCCCCAGGAAGGACUAAACUCCAGACAUAGGUUGGCAUCACUUGUGGCACUGUGUGCACCAGUGCACGCGGUGACCACCGCUUUGGCGUGCAAUGGUCGCGCUUAGAGCUUCUUCUUGCUUGGGCUCCUCCCCUUCUCGCUGUCUUUGCACCCGUGAGCAUGUCUAGUAGAUUGCCCUCGUCGUUGCCGUCCUCCUGGAUCCCUCUCCCCCUCCGUCCACUUCCUCUUCGGCGCUCAUCGCCGCGCGCCCACGGGUGAGCAGUACCCCGACAUGCAUUAAUGGUGCUUGGCUGCUUCCCUCCCCUUGACCUCUUCUACCCGUGAGCUCUGUGGCUCGUCCGCAUCUCCCUCGUCUUGAACCCGUGCCACCCCGUGCUCGAUGGCCUCGCCAGAGCGUUGGCCGGAUCCCCACGGUGCCACCCGAGCUCGGCCUCCCUCGCCCCCGCCUAUAUAAAGACCCCAGAGUCCUCCCGAGCUCACUAGCCUCUUCCACGCCCUCCACUAGACCUCCCUGACCAGUCAAACAAGCUCGAGGAGCUCUCCCUGGCCAUCAUUGCCGCCAUAGCCGCCGCGGCUUUCCUCCUAAAUUGGAGCGAGCCGAGCCCUCCCCCUCCAUUCUAGCACCACCAGUGCCCUACACCACACCCCUAGAGCCUACCCGACGCCCAGCCCCUCCUCUCCGUGGCUCCUCCAUCCUCCCCAAGGUCGCCCGAGCCCCGCCAUUGCCGCCGUCCGCCCCGACCUAGAUCACGUGCUCCCCUGACUUCCCCGCCCUCCGUACCCCGCCUGGCUGGACGCGCCGUUCCUCCUCGAGCACCUCGAUGGCCGGAGCGCCUCGAACGGUGGCCUCUGCCGCCUGGGCACCUCGCUGGAGCAGGCGACCUCCUCUGUCCUGGAGCCGGCGUCGGGAGGAAGAAGGGAAGGAGCAAGGAGGAGAGAGAGAGAUCCGGUGGGCCCCGCUGGCAGUGACACGAGCGUUGACCCUGUUGCCAGCGUGGAUAAGUGGCGGGUCCCACCUCCCUGCGGGCCCCGCCAGUCAGCCUCACAACCGCCGGCCCCGCGUUGACCCAGGUACAGUGACGUGGAUAAGUGGAGGCGUAAUCCACUGAUUACGUCUUCGCUUUCCGAAAGCGUAUUUCCCAUUUUACGCUUCUGUCUUAUCCACUCACGGACUUAUUUGUGAUGAAAUUUUUGCAGAAAAGUCCCUGAACUUCAACCCCUCAUAUCUUUUUAUCCGUAACUCCGAAUGAGGUCAAACCAACGGCCACUUCUUCGUUUCAUCGAGCCCUUUCUGUUGGUGUCACUUUCAUUAUGUUUUGGCAUACUGAAAAUGACCAUUUUGCCCCUGCCCUUAAUCAGCCCCCUCCAAGAGAGACAUGUUUUCCGGCGAUUCGUUCCGCGGCUUCACCGCACUUCUUCUCGGUGCCUUCUUCAUCCCCAGGAAAGCCACAAUACCCACUUACAUGAUAGUCAUGCAGUAGCCAUGGUUUUCAACUUGAAUCUUUAUUAAUGUUUGCUUGUUGAAAAAAAUGGUUAUCGUUGUUCCGGUGAUGCUCAAAUUUGCAUGUUCGCUUUUGUGCUAUGUCGUCUUAUACUCUGUGAUCAUGUUAUACCUCCUAGUAUUACCUUUCAUAUGUUUAUGCUUGGUAGUAGUACAUGUUGAUGUUGGAGAUGGUCAUGCUAGUCAGUAUGCGAUGCUUAGUGGACAUGAGUUAUUGUUGGUACGGUGGAAAGUUAUGUCAUACUCUCAUGAUGAUGUUGAUAUCAUGUUCAUGUAUUAUAGUUGGCAUCAUGUUAUUUCAUCAUGGCUCAGCAUAUUUGCAUUCAAGUUGACCGGAUUAAAUUGAACUUGAACAUCUGUUGACUGAGUCAUGGUGCCACUGAAUCGAUGCUGACCAGUGCAACCACGCUUAUCGGUAUGGGACAGUCCUAACGGGGUCUAUUGUUGUGCCUCUCGCCGGUGCCUCCAAUGAGGGAAGGUUAUGGGCGCGUGCUACCCUGAUCAGGUAGGUGGAGCAUAACCUUAUAUUCCCGUAGUUGUUAUAGCCGGCGGAUCCCCGUGUGGGAUCGUUUAUGUUUUGGGCCACGACAGUGGUCGUUGUGUCUGGAGGAAGGCACGGGGCCACCCAUGACUUAGCUCAGUGAGGAGUGAGUCGAAGUGGCCGGGAGACUGUCAUGGCAGUAGAUCGGUUUCGUUGGAACGCCGUUGGUCCACCCGAAUGGAAGUGCGAGGCCAUGGGUUCUGUAGUGUGGGUACAGUGUACUAACCUCUGUAGAGUGUAUAUUAAAUCUAUCGAUAGCCGCGCCCGCGGAUAAGGGCCCAGGUCGUGAGAAGGUCACACCAUGAGUCAACAGUAAUUAGAAUAAUGUGCUUAAUAAUAACAAGACGGGCCAGGUAUUGCUCGGGUGGUGAUUGCCGUAAGGAUCACGGGCCAAGUGUUUGUCGGGUUGUGAUCGCCGUAAGGAUCACGGUUUGGGACCCAGCGUUGGUCGUGGUUGUGAUCACCGUAAGGAUCACGAUGGUAUCGAGGAUAUCGCGUUGUUGUAUAUUCAUGGUGUUGUACAAGAAUCGUGGGUAAAUAUCAAGCUCCUUGUGGUCGCUUAUUGAUUACUAUGGUAUUGUUUAUACCAAGCUUGAUUUGAUCCUGAGAUGAUCGUGUGAUGUCCGAGGUUGGUAAGUGAUGCAUAUGUUCGUUACGAGGUAAUCGAACAGAAUAAGUGGUGCAUAUGGUGUCAUCAUGUUGCAUGCUAGUAUUGUCGGAUUAAUAUGUUCAUGCUGAGUUAGCUGUAUCAUGUUUAUGAUGGUCAUGCCAUGUUAUUCUGAUGAUAUCAUGUUAAUUCCUGUUUAACCUGUAAUUGCCAUGCUGUUGUCUGUCUUGAAUGCUUCUGGUUUAUUGUGAGCUUGCAAGUACAUUCAAUGUACUGACCUGGCGUGUCAUGCCAGUUUGCAGGUCAUGCCGGAUUUGAUUGCUUGCUUGUCGUGGUUUCCGUUCGAGCGAGCUAGGAUAAGCGUUCCAGCCAGAGUCCCUGCGGAGUGGAGUUCACCACCAUCGUCGUUGUUCCGCUGCUAGAGUUAUUCCGCUGCUUCGAGUUGUUCUACUUCUUGCAUAGAGCAACUGAGGAUGACGUAGUGUCGCCGUACCGAUGUUAUUCAUUGUGAUAUCGUAAACCUUGUAUUCAUAUUCGUGUAAUAAUGGAAAGCUGGUUUGUUCUAUGCUAAGCAGUGCCGUAUUCCAGAAGACUUCUCCUCGAUCUCUGGGCUGGAAUAUGGGGCGUUUCGGUUUUCUCUGAGCCGGGGUGCCACAGGUCCACUGGCCUGACUGCCUCAUCAUAAGUGAUUGAUGAGGGAUACACCAGAACAUUAGUUUGAUGUAAGAACAUGGUUAAUAGAGAGAUGUACUAGUAUGUACCAAAAACAGGAAGGCAUGUCAUAUUCAAAGGUAUAAUGUGUAAGCUAAGCAGAUGCAUUUUAACCAAAUUGGAAGCGGUACAAGCUAGACAUCCGGCUGGAGUGGUGAGCAUGAUCAUCUAGGACCUGAGAGCCUGGUGGGAGGCGGGUUGCUUUGCCACCAUCGUGGCUUUUUACUUGGCUUCCAGGUGAUGCCUGUCUGUGCUGGGCUUAUCACUGGCUCGACCAGUGCCCUGACUAGCUAUUUGUCUUCUGGUGCUCACAGGAUGGUGGUUCAUGUAAAAAAUAUCUUUC
Molecule: long non-coding RNA, 9185 nt
Filed under: Triticum aestivum (bread wheat)
Lineage: Eukaryota; Viridiplantae; Streptophyta; Magnoliopsida; Poales; Poaceae
Description: long non-coding RNA (TAES_LNC004304)
Source: RNAcentral